AAGGCCAGGCUGCGUUUGGGUGCGAGAGCCAGGCCAGGGGGGUGUCCAGAGCAGACGCCGCACCAGUCUGGGUAUAAAAGCCCCAGGCCGGUGGGGGGCUGUGCCGAUCACACCGACGUCCCGCACCCUUUCUGUGUUCGCGUCCACGUUGUUCCUUAAAAAACAACAUUUUGCAACGUUUUGUUUGGUUUUGAUUUUAAUUUUUUUUUAUAUAUCUCUGAGAGUGUAUAAUUGGCACCGACUGAUGUUGAGGUUGAGGGUUGCGGCUGUUUUUGACCUGUGGACGUAGGUUGUGGCGUUUGACCUCUGUGGCGCCGGCUCAAGUGUGUUUUGGCACUGAUAUACCUGCUUUGUGAGGACCUCUGGAGUGAGGAGUGUGUGCUGUUAAAGAGUGGAAUACAGGGACGGUGCGAAGAAGGACUGAGCAAGGGAAAGAGAUGGAGACGGGGACAGAUAGUUACUCACGGGGAACAGAAUGCUGCAUGACACUGUCUCUCUCCUCCCUUUCUUUCUUUCUUUCUUUCUUUCUUUGUACAUCUUUCGUUGCUUCUCUUUUUUCUGAUUCUCUGAGUGUUCUCACUAACACCUAAAGGUUUGUUCCUAGAUCAUUUCUGUACCUUUCCUUUCCCUCCUUUCUCUGUAUUUCUCUUUUGCUAACUCUCGCACGUUCUAACCUUAAUUUUCUCUCUUUAACUCAGUCCAUCUCCCCUCCUCCCUCUACUCCUUCUACCCCCCCCUCCUCCUCCUCCUCCUCCUCCUUUCCCUCUCUCUCUUUGGCUCUAUCAGCACACCGUUCUCACUCCUCCUUCUAUUUCAGUCCUGCUCAGCAGAGACUCAGCAGAGGAACUUUGGACAGGUGGGGAGGAGUGAGCGGGGAGGGAAGGAGGGAGGGACGCUGUGCAGGCGGGUUGACGCAUGUCCAUUCAGACAUUCUCGCCGUCUUUCUCUUCCUUUCAUCGCUGCCGCCAGAGCUUUCAUUUUAUUUUGAUGCCAAGUUCUUGUUAUUUGCCCUGCCCUCAUGUGGGCUCUCUCUUGCAAUCAAGAUUUUUUUUCUUAAGAAAGAAAAACUGAGUUCUUGCUGUCCCACUUCAACGAGAGACAAGGAAGCACCAUCAUUUCUUUCCUCUCCUCCUUUCCUCUCCCUAUUUCAGCCUCCCAUCUCUCUCUUCAUCUCCUCUCCUCUCUUUUCCUGUCCUCUCUGCAUCCUUAAACUCAAAUGCUGAAUCAGCUGAAGACGAACGAACGCUCUGCACCCCAACCCCCCUCCCAUGCCCCAUCCUCACCCCCACCCUUCCCGAUUCACGCAAACCGUCGCACCCCAUGGAGCACCAUCAGUCCAGCAUAAGCUUGGGGGAACUCUACCUGAAAGCUGCCCACUAGGUUGAAACCCCCCCCUUCCUGGGCUCAAUGCCAGCCAUGCUUCUCUCCAGACUCCAACUCCCAGCAACCCCAGACUCACUCAAAAAUGCUUUGCUAAAGCUGGUAAAAUGGAACCAAAUCAACUGUUCAAUGGAUUUGGUCCCCUUCAACCAGCUGUAGCUGCGCAUUGAUCACCCCAGAGGCACCAUCAGGCUGGAACUGGCCAACACCCAGAACUCACUGGCUCAGGAACAGUUCUGAUCCGAUGCUCUUUUGCACGGAAGGACCAGGCCGCGGACGGAACCUACUGAUUCAGGAAAUAGAUCAACGGCGGCAGCCAAGCAGAGAAAUUGUAAUCCCCCUCAAGCGAUCUAAAUAGCCCUAGUCCACAUCGACAUGACACAAUACAACAGUCACUCUCGUCAUUAACACGGUGCAGCUUUUGUCCCAGACACAGCUCUCUAUGUAACCUCUGCAGGUGAGUGUCGGCUUCAUUUCAUUAAUUGCUGCCAGUGUUCACACACACACCCCACACACACACACACACACACACACACACACACACACAGACAGACAGACAGACAGACAGACAGACAGACAGACAGACAGACAGACAGACACACACACGCACACACACACACAGACAGACACACACACACACACACACAGAGAGAGACAGACACACACACACACAGAGACAGACAGACACACACACACACACACACAUGCUAGACUGUAUCAAUGUCUUGUAUGUAUUCACCCACCAUCAGUACCAUUCGACUAGGGUCUUAUCAUUCUUUAUGGCGAGGGAUUGAUUUUUUGUCUCCCGUGUCAGCAAGGAAAAGAGGGGGAUGUGCUUGUAUAUAUAUCGGUGUGUGUGUGUGUGUGUGUGUGUGUGUGUGUGUGUGUGUGUGUGUGUGUGUGUGUGUGUGUGUGUGGAUGUAUGGUGAGGGUGGGGGUGGGGGUUGGGGUUGCCUGCAUAAGUAAAGAAGUCAUUUUUUUUUUCACUUGCUGUGAUUCUUAAUGCAGGAGUCUGAUCAAUAAAAGCUCAUCCUGAAGUUCAUAAACUGC
This is a long non-coding RNA of Clupea harengus (Atlantic herring), 2430 nucleotides long. The record is from Ensembl. NCBI's taxonomy places the organism in Eukaryota, Metazoa, Chordata, Actinopteri, Clupeiformes, Clupeidae.